Molecule: ribosomal RNA, 222 nt
Filed under: uncultured bacterium
Lineage: Bacteria
Description: partial 16S ribosomal RNA
Rfam family: Bacterial small subunit ribosomal RNA
Source: RNAcentral
AUGACUCGGGGAUAGCCUUUCGAAAGAAAGAUUAAUACCCGAUGGCAUAGUUCUUCCGCAUGGUAGAACUAUUAAAGAAUUUCGGUCAUCGAUGGGGAUGCGUUCCAUUAGGUUGUUGGCGGGGUAACGGCCCACCAAGCCUUCGAUGGAUAGGGGUUCUGAGAGGAAGGUCCCCCACAUUGGAACUGAGACACGGUCCAAACUCCUACGGGAGGCAGCAUG